RNAcentral lists this ribosomal RNA (468 nucleotides) under uncultured bacterium. RNAcentral's name for it is "partial 16S ribosomal RNA". It matches the Rfam family "Bacterial small subunit ribosomal RNA", at positions 28 to 507 of the family's 1533-position model. The record is from RNAcentral.
GACGAACGCUGGCGGCGUGCUUAACACAUGCAAGUCGAACGGAAAGGCCCUGCUUUUGUGGGGUGCUCGAGUGGCGAACGGGUGAGUAACACGUGAGUAACCUGCCCUUGACUUUGGGAUAACUUCAGGAAACUGGGGCUAAUACCGGAUAGGAGCUCCUGCUGCAUGGUGGGGGUUGGAAAGUUUCGGCGGUUGGGGAUGGACUCGCGGCUUAUCAGCUUGUUGGUGGGGUAGUGGCUUACCAAGGCUUUGACGGGUAGCCGGCCUGAGAGGGUGACCGGCCACAUUGGGACUGAGAUACGGCCCAGACUCCUACGGGAGGCAGCAGUGGGGAAUAUUGCACAAUGGGCGGAAGCCUGAUGCAGCAACGCCGCGUGCGGAAUGACGGCCUUCGGGUUGUGAACCGCUUUCGCCUGUGACGAAGCGUGAGUGACGGUAAUGGGUAAAGAAGCACCGGCUAACUACGUG